ACGCCCGCGCUGCUCAGCGCUACCGCUUCCCCGCAACUGUGCGGAGUGGGAGCCGGUGCCCGGUCCGACCGGCUUGGGCGGCGCGCCUUCACCCGGCGCCAGGUCCGGACCCCUCCCUAGUAGCUUCGCGGCCUCCCUGCCUCCUGUGCGCGGCCUGGCUCGGAGAGGUCGGGCGGGCAGGCUUUCCCGACUGCAGGCGAGGCAGUGCGCGGCUCACCCCAGUCCCCGACCCACGUGAAGCGUACAGGGCAUUUUAUUAACCGGGAAGGACGGUGCGGAAGAGCGAGCAGGACGCCUCUUCACCCCGCGUAGGCAGUGUCGUCGUUGCUGUCACUAAAGGCGGAGGAAGAGAGCUCUUCGCGGGGCGUGCAGACCGGGCACCGCUGCCGCAUGUCGUCCCAGCACGACCAGCAGUACACGGCCUCGCAGUCCAGCGUCCGGCACACGUAGGACUCGGGCGUCUCGGGUGCCUGGCACACCACGCAGCGCCGGCACAGCCAGCGGCGCAGGAGCGGGCAGCCGCGGUGCAGGAUAUCCGCCAGCGGGUGGCGCUGUUGGGAGGUGAGAAAACUGAUGCUUGGAGAUGUGAUCACUGCCCAGGGUCACCCAAUGAUAACAUGCAUGCAUAUGGAACUUGCUGCAUGCCAGCACCAUCUUUGCGGAGUGGCAGCAGAGUCCGUUUGCCCUGGAAAACAAAUGUCCACACAGUUAGGAAGCCCAAGGGCCCUCUGCCCUUUCCUCUCUGCCUUCCUGGAGCAUGAACCCACACAGGGCACACAGCAGCAAGGCAUCCCCGGGCAGUGCCGUGCCCACUCACCAGCUUCUUCCUGCGGUCAUCGAUCUGGCAGAAGUUCUCCUCAUCUAUCCCCAAACAUGGGCUUCCUUGAGGCACAGUCAUUCAACCAACCAGCCAGCAUUCAUUGAGCACCAUCUAUGUCCUGGGCACUGCUAGGGGAUGGUGAUAACAGGGAGAAGACUCUGUCCCUGCCUUCCAAUUGUGUAGAGGAAGACAUCCCCCUACAUGAUGGCAUAUCUCCUGGAAGUGUGCUGGGGCAAAACUCAUCCCAGACCACCAUCUCCAUCCUCCCCCAAUACACCCUGGCUCUCCCUGGCUACCCUUGAGCACGGUGCACGUGUGCAUGGGUGCAUGCCUGCAUAUAUAGCUAUCCCCCAUGUAUUUCCCAAAGCCCUACAUAAUGCUUCAGUUUGCUAAGGAAAAAAUGUUAAUUACUGCAAAUGUGUUUAAAACUGUAAAAGUACAUUAAACAAACUCUGUAAAGUGUGAAA
This 1287-nucleotide long non-coding RNA is filed under the name Homo sapiens (human). Its description in RNAcentral is "non-protein coding DCST1-AS1:19". The record is from RNAcentral. Lineage: Eukaryota; Metazoa; Chordata; Mammalia; Primates; Hominidae.